Molecule: ribosomal RNA, 462 nt
Filed under: uncultured bacterium
Lineage: Bacteria
Description: partial 16S ribosomal RNA
Rfam family: Bacterial small subunit ribosomal RNA
Source: RNAcentral
GACGAACGCUGGCGGCGUGCUUAACACAUGCAAGUCGAACGGAAAGGCCCUUCGGGGUACUCGAGUGGCGAACGGGUGAGUAACACGUGGGUGAUCUGCCCUACACUUUGGGAUAAGCCUGGGAAACUGGGUCUAAUACCGAAUAGGACCACGCGCUUCAUGGUGUGUGGUGGAAAGCUUUUGCGGUGUGGGAUGGGCCCGCGGCCUAUCAGCUUGUUGGUGGGGUAAUGGCCUACCAAGGCGACGACGGGUAGCCGGCCUGAGAGGGUGACCGGCCACACUGGGACUGAGAUACGGCCCAGACUCCUACGGGAGGCAGAAGUGGGGAAUAUUGCACAAUGGGCGCAAGCCUGAUGCAGCGACGCCGCGUGAGGGAUGACGGCCUUCGGGUUGUAAACCUCUUUCAAUAGGGACGAAGCGCAAGUGACGGUACCUAUAGAAGAAGCACCGGCCAACUACGUG